CCCUGAAAAUGGAUGGCGCUGGAGCGUUNNACCCAUUACCNGACCGCUUCGGCAAGGCAUGUUCAUAUGCGAUGACAAGCCGAAGCGAGUAGGAGGGNNGCCGCGGUGGGCGCCGAAGCCUGGGACGCGAGUCUGGGUGGAGCNNCC
Molecule: ribosomal RNA, 147 nt
Filed under: Progabbia cooperi
Lineage: Eukaryota; Metazoa; Mollusca; Gastropoda; Neogastropoda; Cancellariidae
Description: partial 28S ribosomal RNA
Rfam family: Eukaryotic large subunit ribosomal RNA
Source: RNAcentral